GCCCAAGAGAUCGGGAUAACACCUGGAAACAGAUGCUAAUACCGGAUAACAACAGAUGAUGCCUAUCAACUGUUUAAAAGAUGGUUAUGCUAUCACUCUUGGAUGGACCUGCGGUGCAUUAGCUAGUUGGCAGGGUAACGGCCUACCAAGGCGAUGAUGCAUAGCCGAGUUGAGAGACUGAUCGGCCACAUUGGGACUGAGACACGGCCCAAACUCCUACGGGAGGCAGCAGCC
Molecule: ribosomal RNA, 234 nt
Filed under: uncultured Lactobacillus sp.
Lineage: Bacteria; Bacillati; Bacillota; Bacilli; Lactobacillales; Lactobacillaceae
Description: partial 16S ribosomal RNA
Rfam family: Bacterial small subunit ribosomal RNA
Source: RNAcentral